Molecule: long non-coding RNA, 1521 nt
Organism: Triticum aestivum (bread wheat)
Lineage: Eukaryota; Viridiplantae; Streptophyta; Magnoliopsida; Poales; Poaceae
Exons: 4
Source: RefSeq, a predicted model, not a curated record
CAGUGAAAGAGAAGGUGGAACGGGGACAGCGGCGGCUGGGCUCUCGUCGGCGUGGAAGGUGUCUGGCUCUCCCCUCCGCCUCCGGCCCUCUCGGCCUCUCCUCGGCCUCCGGCGUCCCCGGUCCCUCGAUCCUUUAUUCAAAAAAAAACGCCUACAUCUUAUCCAGAUGCUGUCGGCCCUUGACCUGCCGUCCGUGCGGCACGGCGGCGUCCUUGUCGGCGGCGGAGACGGCAUCCUUGUCGGCGGCAGAGACGGCUACGGAUGCAGAGGAGGAUGAGAAGGCGUCCGCCGUGCCUUGCGCGGGAGGACGGAGGACGCCUCGCCUGGGCGUGUGCUCGGUGAGGGGCGGCGCCCUUGCCGGCGUUGCCGGCGGCGGAGACGGCUUCUGCUGCGCGGCGGGCUGGAGCAUGGGGGGUAGUUGUCGGGCAACAUGAGGAGGCAGAGGCGGCCAAGGCAAUGAGGCACGGCGUCGGCUAGCCAAGGGGCGGCCGGAGCAGAGGACGUCCACUUCCCCAGUCUGCGCACUCAUCGCGGCAAGAAAUCAGUGGAGUGCCCGACCCGGAUUGAAUUUCGCUGCUAUAAGAAGGAAGGGUCCUUGGCCGGAAUCUCCAUCAGGUUGCGUACUUGGACCAGAAAAUCCAUCAAAUCCCGGAGUACUUGGACCAGAAAAGCAUCGUGUCGCCUUCAAGUUCGCCGGAGGAAGAAGUGCCGAGUUUGCCGGAGGUAGAAGAACAUCCGUCGAGCCGUCCAAUAUCGCCAACGGCGGGCUACACCAGAGGUUUUUUUCGUGACUAAUAAUAAGGAUUGGAUGAAGCAAAUCAGACACACUUCUAAGGGCCUGGAUUGCAAACUCAAUACUCCAGCGACUUCACCUUUGUGGACCUUGACUCGACUCUGGCCACCAGCGAGAAGUGAAGGCACAAGGCAGUGGACAAGGAUAGGAAAUCAAGCAUCUGCUUUGCUCUGUUUGCCUGUCAUCGUUAUUGCCUGUAGCUAGCUUUCAUCUGCUAUGCUCUGUUUUCUGAACUCUAAAUACUUGCAUGUAGCUUCCUCUGCUUCUGCUAUGUUUUCUGAACUCUUGUAUACUUGGUUGUAGCUUUAGGUCAGUUUCAGGCGUCAGGUCGACUCCGCUCGGGGCCUGAAAAUCAUCCGCCUUCCGACCACAGGACGGGCGGAUGCUGCCACCUCACGUUCAUGUCGGCUGCUGUCUAUCCCCUCUUUCUUUUUAGCAAGCAAUACACACUAGACUGUAUGAUAUUUAAAUUCUGCAAACGGCCUCGGAUUGAGAUGAUUCAAAAGGCAAAAUAGUUCGCUGCGACGAGGGGAGGAAUUUCCAUGUUAAACACUUCUUCAUUUGAGAUAGUUUUGAGGACUUGAUCAUACAUGCCAAAAAGUGGUGUCAAUACGGUCCCGCAUUGAAGAUCCCUUACAUGCUCGUGCAUGUUACUAUACAAUGUAUAUCCGUCUUUAUAUCGGAUUGCUCAACGUCGUGAGGUGUUCGUGGCAACAGUAUUUCACUCU